CCCGGAAGCUGUACGCCGGCUCCCUUGGCCAAUAAAGCGAGAUGAGCGCCGCAACCCCAGAGUCGGUCACGACUGGACCUAAUGGUCAGGGGUCCCUUUACCUUUACCUUUUAUUGUGCAGAUACUUUGCCAUUGGGAAUCACCCUUAAAAGCACUGACUGCUCUCCUAAACCUCCUUGGGUUCAUUUGCGUGGGUGUCAGAAGUAGAAGCUCAAGAAAAAAGCACACCAAGAAUUCAGGUCAAUAUAAGUUUCAGUGGUGGGAGUGGCCCCUACUCGCAAAUCAAUAGUCAAUUUUAGCAAAAACUAAUCCAUUCAAAAGUAUUCUGACAAGGAUUGCAAACGCAAAUAGAGAUUACAAACUCAAACUCAUAAGGAUAUGUAUAACAAUAAUUCGUUAUUGGCCUGAGUUCUUGGUGUGCUUUUUUCUUGGUAUAUUUAAUAACAAGAACUCCAACUUAUUUAACGUUAGAGGUAGAAACUCAGCUGCUGCAAGAUCAGGACAGGUGAGGGAAGAACCAAUUUGCGGAGCCUCGUCAAAGGGAUGACCUCAUCUAACGGCUCUCAGGCUGAUGAGGCGAUUAAUGUGCAUUUCAGGCUCCGCGCGGCAAUUAGCCGGAAUGAAUAAUUGAACACUUUUUGCAUGAUGACUUUGGAAUACAAAUGUCUCCGACUCUCCCGCCCGGAUCGCGGGGAGGCAAGAGGCCCCUCUACGCUGGGGGGGUGGGAUACAUUGCAUGGCUGUUGAUCUGGGCCUUGUCGUAGUGGCCUGGUGGUCAGAACCCUGCCUUAGGCUAUGGGACGGCCUGUGUAUUGAUCAGCCACCCUGACUGGCUUGCACAAAUCUGACAUGGAGGCUAGAUCCUGCCCGGUCUGUGUGGGGCUUUCUUUGAGCCCCGGCACUUUGCACGGAGGUUGCAUGACUCUGCAUUCAUCCUGAUUUGCUUGCACGUUGACACAUCUUCCUGGCAAUCGUUCGUUCAUCCCACAUUUUGGGGGCGUGUGUGUGUUCAAAUAUUAUAUUUCAGUGUUUCAAAAUAAGGAACGCUCUGUGACUUUCAGUGCAAUCAAAGUACUUUGUCAGUUAUCCAUCUGCCAGAGGGUGAAAACCACGCUGUGCAUUAGAUAAGUCUGUACUUUUGACUGAUCUGCCUUUUGAAAAAAAUUAAAAGGAACAGAUUUGUACGUUCAUAGACUCAUAGAACUGUCAUCUAGUUCAACCCCCUGCAAUGCAGGAAUCAUAGCUAAAGCGUCGUCAUUACAGAACCACAAUUUGUGCUUACAUCUUUAAAAUAAGACAAGCCAAUAGUGUUGCCAGUACAGUGGUGCCCCGCAAGACGAAUGCCUCGCAAGACGGAAAACCCGCUAGACGAAAGGGUUUUCCGUUUUGGAGGUGCUUCGCAGGACGAAUUCUCCUAUGGGCUUGCUUCGCAAGACGAAAAUGUCUUGCGAGUCUAGAGAUUUUUUUUUCGCUUCCCCCCCCCUUUAUCUAAUCUGCUAAGCCUUUAAUAGCCUUUAAUAGCCUUUUAGCAGCUAAUCCCCUAAGCCUUUAAGCCUUUAAUAGCCGCUAAACCGCUAAUAGUGCUAAUCCGUUAAGCCGCUAAUAGGGUUGCUUCGCAAGACGAAAAAACCGCUAGACGAAGACACUCGCGGAACGGAUUAAUUUCGUCUUGCGAGGCACCACUGUACCCAGACCCUGUUUGAACCAAAAGACGUGGGUGGCACUGUGGUCUAAACCACUGAGCCUCCUGGGCUUGCCGAUCAGAAGGUCGGUGGUUUGAAUCCCUGUGAUGGAGUGAGCUCCUGUUGCUCUGUCCCAGCUCCUGCCAACCUAGCAGUUCGAAAGCACACCAGCGCAAGUAGAUAAAUAGGUACCACUGUAACGGGAAUGGAAAUGACAUUUCCAUGCACUCUGGCUUCCGUCACAGUGUCCCGUUGCACCAGAAGUGGUUGAAUCCUGCUGGCCACAUGACCCAGAAAGCUGUCUGUGGACAAAUGCCGGCUCCCUUGGUCUGAAAGUGAAAUGAGCACCGCAACCCCAUAGUCGCCUUUGACUGGACUUAAUGAUCCAGGGGUCCUUUACCUUUACCUUUUUUACCUGUUUGAACAGGCCAAUUGCCCACCUAGCCCCAAAUCCUGUUCUCACAGUGGCCAGCCCAGUGCCCCCAGGAAUCCUGCAAGUAGAAUCCAGACACAACAACACUCUUCCCUCUAGUGAUUCCCACAGGUUGGUACUCUGAUACAUGUGGCCUCUGAUAAAGGUAAAGGGACUCCUGACCA
Molecule: long non-coding RNA, 2279 nt
Filed under: Podarcis lilfordi (Lilford's wall lizard)
Lineage: Eukaryota; Metazoa; Chordata; Lepidosauria; Squamata; Lacertidae
Source: RNAcentral